GGUAAUGGCUCAGCGGUAGAGCAUUCGCCUUGCAUGUGCAAGGCCCUGAAUUCGAUCCUCAGCACCA
RNAcentral lists this transfer RNA (67 nucleotides) under Marmota monax (woodchuck). RNAcentral describes it as "tRNA.Ala". The record is from RNAcentral. Lineage: Eukaryota; Metazoa; Chordata; Mammalia; Rodentia; Sciuridae.